CUAACCUGCUCACUGAAUGUUUUAAAGAGCCGCGGUAUUUUGACCGUGCAAAGGUAGCAUAAUCAUUAGUCUCUUAAUUAGAGGCUGGUAUGAAUGGUUUGACGAAAAAUCAUCUGUCUCUUAUUAAAUUAUAGAAUUUAAUUUUUGAGUUAAAAAGCUUAAAUUUUUCUUUAAGACGAGAAGACCCUAUAGAGCUUAACAUUUUAUUUUUAUAUAAUUUUUUGUUAUGUUUUUUUAUAUUUAAAGAUAAUGUUUUGUUGGGGUGACAUGAAGAAUAGAUAAACUCUUCGUAAUAAAAUCAUUAAUUUAUGUUUAUUUGAUCCAUAAUUUAUGAUCAUAAGAUUUAGUUACCUUAGGGAUAACAGCGUAAUUAUUUUUGAGAGCUCAUAUCGACAAAAUAGAUUGCGACCUCGAUGUUGGAUUAAGAAUAGCUUUGGGUGCAGAAGCCCAAUAAUUAGGUCUGU
This 464-nucleotide ribosomal RNA is filed under the name Ognevia longipennis. RNAcentral's name for it is "partial 16S ribosomal RNA". It matches the Rfam family "Archaeal large subunit ribosomal RNA", at positions 1946 to 2649 of the family's 2987-position model. The record is from RNAcentral. Lineage: Eukaryota; Metazoa; Arthropoda; Insecta; Orthoptera; Acrididae.